CUGAAGUUGUAGAACAUGUGAUUGAUCUAGAAACAUUUUUACAGUGCUGCUGUCAAGUGUUAAAACCCGGUGGUUCUUUAUUCAUUACUACAAUCAACAAAACACAACUUUCCUAUGCCUUGGGAAUUGUUUUUUCAGAGCAAAUUGCAAGUAUUGUACCAAAAGGUACUCAUACAUGGGAGAAGUUUGUUUCACCUGAAACACUAGAGAGCAUUCUGGAAUCAAAUGGUCUGUCAGUUCAAACAGUGGUAGGAAUGCUCUAUAACCCCUUCUCAGGUUACUGGCAUUGGAGUGAAAAUACCAGCCUUAACUAUGCAGCUUAUGCUGUGAAAUCCAGGGUCCAGGAACACCCAGCCUCUGCUGAGUUUGUUUUAAAGGGAGAAACAGAAGAGCUCCAAGCUAAUGCCUGCACCAAUCCAGCUGUGCAUGAAAAGCUGAAGAAAUGAAUUGUUUCUGAGAACUAUAGUAAUAUGGCUUGGAUAUCUGAUGUUUUCAAAUACAAAAAUGUACAAUUUAUCCUUUGAGAGAGAAUCAUGAAGAAAAGAAGGUCAAUAAAAAGGGCUAAAACCUUGGACAAAAGUUUUUGUUAUUUCGUCUAAUAGCUACUUUCAAGGGAUUCUGUGAAUAAAAAGUUUUGUCAAGAU
RNAcentral lists this long non-coding RNA (644 nucleotides) under Homo sapiens (human). Its description in RNAcentral is "HSALNT0110453". The record is from RNAcentral. Lineage: Eukaryota; Metazoa; Chordata; Mammalia; Primates; Hominidae.